UUAAGAGGGAAGUCCACGAGCAGAGCAUUCUGUCCCUCCUGGAGAGGGUCAUGUUGGGAGAUCUCUAUGCACAACUGCAAGACUGUCAGGAUGCUUCUGUCACCCUUGGAGGGCAUUUUAAUCCCACAAUUGGAAAGGUCUAGUUUGGUGUAUAAUCACAGGCUUAGAGAGAGAGAAGACCAGGUCACUGCGUGUUUCCUGUGUAUAGUGAUAUUUCAAGAAUGGAGCAGCUCACAUUUGCAGUCUUCCAGCUUCAGCUAGCUCUGGAUGGAUGGACAGAUGGACGGACGGACGGACGGACGGACAGACAGGCAGACAGAUAGUAUCUUCAAAUGUAUCAAGAACCCUAAAUAUCCUCACAAAUCAUUUAGACAAUACAAUUGCAAUCAUAAUGUGGGUGCCACUUAACAGCCUACAUAGGAACUUCACUUGGUAAAGGUGUUUCUUGGUUACUCCUUCAGAUUUGCAUCCAACCUUUAGCACCAACCUACAGAAAAAGUGUGGCUGUUGAUGUGGUUCCCCUAUUUCAAUUUGCAACUGCUGGGCACCAAUGUCAUUAGGCACGUGUCCAUUUUCUAGUGGAUGUAUAGGCAGUGUCUGCCUCCACUUUAUUUGUCAAGUAAACUUACAUUUUAAUUUAUUAUUUUUCCUCUAAUCUGUUCAAAAGUGAAUGACUUGGCUUGCUACAUAUGAAAAGAUUCUCCAACCACACUUAUGUCUUAAAAUAGAUUAUACGUUAUUAGUAGCUGAUGCAGUAAACCCACAAGAGGGAAGUUAGGCAGCUCUGCCUUAUCUUUACACAGAAAUGUCUUUCUGCCUAUGACGACAUGCACUUUUUUUUUUGCUAAUGAAGAAGAGGAAGCGCAGUGUGUGUCCAUGUCAUUGAUAAUAUAUCUUCAGGGAAUUUCCAUGUGGAAAGUACAGUGGAGUGUAGUCAAAUUUCACUUAGGAAAUAUUUCUUCUGAUGGCAUUGUCCCCUUAAAGAACUUUUUCUCUAAUAGCCCCAGACAAAAAGCAUAGGUGUGGGGGAGUGUCAGAAAGACUAGUCAGUUACAAUAAAGAGACAAGAAAUGAAUGUAGCAUAGAGCAGCCCCAAGGGCUAUAGCAAGCAGGAGGGCCCCUUUGUAACAAAAAAUGACUAUACAAAGUUUCCUACAGUACUGUAUCUGGAAGUGCAGCUUAAAUAAACUUUCAGUUUUCUUUCUCUCA
Molecule: long non-coding RNA, 1209 nt
Organism: Pseudophryne corroboree (corroboree frog)
Lineage: Eukaryota; Metazoa; Chordata; Amphibia; Anura; Myobatrachidae
Exons: 3
Source: RefSeq, a predicted model, not a curated record